UAUAUACUUCCUUCAUUUGAAAAUACUUGUCAUCAAAAUAAAUAAAAUGAAAUGUAUCUAGACGUAUUUUAGUUCUAGAUACAUCUUUUUUUAUUCAUUUUGAUGACAAGUAUUUUCGGACGAAGGGAGUAUAUA
Molecule: non-coding RNA, 135 nt
Organism: Triticum urartu
Lineage: Eukaryota; Viridiplantae; Streptophyta; Magnoliopsida; Poales; Poaceae
Source: Rfam